GAUGAACGCUGGCGGCGUGCCUAAUACAUGCAAGUCGAGCGAACGGACGAGAAGCUUGCUUCUCUGAUGUUAGCGGCGGACGGGUGAGUAACACGUGGAUAACCUACCUAUAAGACUGGGAUAACUUCGGGAAACCGUAUCUAAUACCGGAUAAUAUUUUGAACCGCAUGGUUCAAAAGUGAAAGACGGUCUUGCUGUCACUUAUAGAUGGAUCCGCGCUGCAUUAGCUAGUUGGUAAGGUAACGGCUUACCAAGGCAACGAUGCAUAGCCGACCUGAGAGGGUGAUCAGCCACACUGGAACUGAGACACGGUCCAGACUCCUACGGGAGGCAGCAGUAGGGAAUCUUCCGCAAUGGGCGAAAGCCUGACGGAGCAACGCCGCGUGAGUGAUGAAGGUCUUCGGAUCGUAAAACUCUGUUAUUAGGGAAGAACAUAUGUGUAAGUAACUGUGCACAUCUUGACGGUACCUAAUCAGAAAGCCACGGCUAACUACGUG
Molecule: ribosomal RNA, 497 nt
Filed under: uncultured bacterium
Lineage: Bacteria
Description: partial 16S ribosomal RNA
Rfam family: Bacterial small subunit ribosomal RNA
Source: RNAcentral